RNAcentral lists this ribosomal RNA (400 nucleotides) under uncultured bacterium. RNAcentral's name for it is "bacterial SSU rRNA". It matches the Rfam family "Bacterial small subunit ribosomal RNA", at positions 357 to 772 of the family's 1533-position model. The record is from RNAcentral.
GGGAAUCUUGGACAAUGGGCGCAAGCCUGAUCCAGCGACGCCGCGUGGGUGAUGAAGGUCUUCGGGUUGUAAAGCCCUUUCGACGGGGACGAUGAUGACGGUACCCGGCGAAGAAGCACCGGCUAACUCCGUGCCAGCAGCCGCGGUAAGACGGAGGGUGCUAGCGUUGUUCGGAAUCACUGGGCGUAAAGGGCGCGUAGGCGGCCAGGCAAGUCGGCUUUGUGAAAGCCCGGGGCUCAACCCCGGAACGGCACUCGAUACUCCUGGGCUCGAGGUCGGAAGAGGAGGGUGGAAUACCCAGUGUAGAGGUGAAAUUCGUAGAUAUUGGGUGGAACACCGGUGGCGAAAGCGGCUCUCUGGUCCGAACCUGACGCUGAGGCGCGAAAGCGUGGGGAGCAAA